RNAcentral lists this ribosomal RNA (253 nucleotides) under uncultured bacterium. RNAcentral describes it as "partial 16S ribosomal RNA". It matches the Rfam family "Bacterial small subunit ribosomal RNA", at positions 524 to 776 of the family's 1533-position model. The record is from RNAcentral.
UACGAAGGGGGCUAGCGUUGCUCGGAAUCACUGGGCGUAAAGGGUGCGUAGGCGGGUCUUUAAGUCAGGGGUGAAAUCCUGGAGCUCAACUCCAGAACUGCCUUUGAUACUGAAGAUCUUGAGUUCGGGAGAGGUGAGUGGAACUGCGAGUGUAGAGGUGAAAUUCGUAGAGAUCGGGAGGAACACCAGUGGCGAAGGCGCCUAUCUGGCUGACAACUGACGCUGAGACUCGAAAGCAUGGGGAGCAAACAGG